CGUCCCUCCGGAAGUGCUUUUUUUUUUAACGUCACAGGUCGUAGGCUUUAAGUGGGAAGAAGAAAGCUAACUCUGCUCAAAAGAAAAGGAAAAAGGCUGGAAGGUAAGCGUUUACAAGCCCUAGAAGCUCCGAACGAGGACAGAAAUUAGGCAGCCCAUAGGUGAGCUCUGCGCGGCCAGCUACCAGAGUCGUUCUCAGAUGUGCAGCUCUCCUCCUGCUUCUCCCUUUUCCUUCCAGUCUCACGCUAAGUUCUGUUGUGCAGGGCAAAAUCGGCACCUUUCCCUUGCGGUUCUUCGGAACCCGAGCUUCCAAGGCGCCAAACCCCAAGUUCCAGAAAGUACCUGCAACCAUUCGUUCUGAUUUCCCUGCUCCCGGCUCAGGCUGGGAUUUUGGACACCAGCUGAGCUCUCUGAUAAAAAGGCCUAGUUUCCGAUUUAGCUCCUACCUCCCAACGUCUUUUCCUCAGAACCUGCUGCUCUGUUCCAACAUAAGAUCCAGUGGAAAGAAAACGGAACCUGCCAGGACCUUAGCCUCCCUAUGUUUUAGUCCCUGCAUUUUAUUAGGCUGCCUGAUAAAAUCCCUCCCUGACUGCCAGAGUAAAACAGCAUUCUGAGACAAGAACAGGAUAUAUUUAAAAAAUUUUUUUAAAGUCUUUCUGUUAAGUCAGACAUAGAAUCUGUAAAUGAUUCGUUAAAGGCUGUCGAAACAUUGCUUUGAGGUUUUAAUCAAGUGCAAAGUGCAGUGACAAAUGCUAGUAAUUCACUUGUUAAUGUGUGCGAAUAGCGAUAGUGGGGGACGGGAGUAAAUGGGAACUCUGCUUAGUUUGGCUGUGAACCUAAAACUGCUCUGAAAAAUUCUUUAUUUUUUAAAGAUAAUGGUAAUAACAGGAAGUAUAAUCACCAUUAUUGAGCUCCUACUCUAUUCCAUUGGUAAAGCUAGCAUUUGAACCGUGCUGUGUCUGACUCCAAAGCUCAUAGUGAAUAAAAUGCAUUAAAACACUGCACCAGAUUAUCUGGCCAGAAUUUAGGCAUUUCAGAAAAUGCACUUGACAAGGCUGUUAGGAGACCUGAUUUGUCGUAUCAGCUCUCUACUGGCUCCUUGUUGACCCACACUUCCUUGAUUUGAGAAGGAGGAUGUCAGAUCAGAGCAAUGAUUCUCAAACUUAAAACUGCACACGAAUCACCUGGUGAUUUGGUGAAGAUAAAACAUCUGCUUCAGGAUGUCUAGGUGAGGUCUGAGAUUCUGCAUUUCUGACAAGCCCCCAGGUGAAGUCCCUGUUAAUCCAGGAGCCACACUUGGAAUAGCAGAGGGCAGGAUGAUCUCUGAGAUCCUUUCAAGUUUUAACACUCUCACAGUGGAUCGUUCUUUCCCCCCUCUAACCUUAGCACCUUUGCUCUUAAGGAAAUAUUGAAGGAUCAGUCAAAAAAAGAGAGUGACAGGGGCUUCCCUGGUGGCGCAGUGGUUGAGAGUCCGCCUGCCGAUGCAGGGGACAUGGGUUCGUGCCCCGGUCCGGGAAGAUCCCACAUGCCGCGGAGCAGCUGGGCCCGUGAGCCAUGGCCGCUGAGCCUGCGCACCCGGAGCCUGUGCUCCGCAAUGGGAGAGGCCACAACAGUGAGAGGCCCGCGUACCGCAAAAAAAAAAAAAAAAAAAGAGUUACAGAAGUAAAGAUUCCUAACUGAAGCCAAAAUAUGAAAAUAAAAUAUAACUUUAUAAUGUCUCUGGAAAGAUACCCAGGAAACCCAUAAGAGUAGCUGCCUUCAGGGAGGCAGACUUGAUGGCUCAAGGACAGGAAUGGCAGCACAUGUACUAAAAUUGGAAUGAUACAGAGAAGAUUACCAUGACCCCUGUGCAAGGAUGACACGCAAAUUCGUGAAGCGUUCCAUAUUUUUAGUCAUGUACCACAAUGUUCAUUGCAGCUCUAUUUACAAUAGCCAGGACAUGGAAGCAACCUAAGUGUCCAUGGACAGAUGAAUGGAUAAAGAAGAUGUAGCACACGUAUACAAUGGAAUAUUACUCAGCCAUGAAAAGGAACAAAAUUGAGUUAUUUGUAGUGAGGUGGAUGUACCUAGAGUCUGUCAUACAGAGUGAAGUAAGUCAGAAAGAGAAAAAUACCAUAUGCUAACACAUAUAUAUGGAAUCUAAAAAAAAAGGUCAUGAAGAACCUGGGGCAAGAUGGGAAUAAAGACACAGACCUACUAGAGAAUGGACUUGAGGACACUGGGAAGGGGAAGGGUAAGCUGGGACAAAGUGAGAGAGUGACAUGGACAUAUAUACACUACCAAACGUAAAAUAGAUAGCUAGUGGGAAGCAGUCGCAUAGCACAGGGAGAUCAGCUGGGUGCUUUGUGACCAGCUAGAAGGGUGGGAUAGGGAGGGUGGGAGGGAGGGAGAUGCAAGAGGGAAGAGAUGGAGAUAUAUGUAUAUGUAUAACUGAUUCACUUUGUUAUAAAGCAGAAACUAACACACCAUUGUAAAGCAAUUAUACUCCAAUAAAAACGUUAAAAAAAUAAUUCAUUUUUAAUUAUCACGGAAAAGUGGUUAAUAUGCCACUCGUUAGUGAGGCAGAAGUCACUGAGUUAUUAGUUUGGACCUACUAUUACUGUAACAGAUUUCUUUUAAACAGAAAGAAAUUAGUUUAACAGUCACUUGAUUAUGUUUGGGAAACAAGCACUUGAAUAUCUCCCUGACAUUUCAGCUUUCUUCCUCUCUUCUCAAAUAGAAUUGCAGUGGAGUAUAUUGGUAAUAUAGUCGUCAAAUCAGAUAUGAUGGUAGUUUUAGGAAAAUAGUGACUUAAGUGCAUGAAACUGGGCCAAAUAACUCAUGAGAUAACUUCUGGCAGUAAGAUCUGAGAUUAUCUGGUCCUAUGAGUUCUGAUUCCCAGAACCUAGACCAGUGAUCCUCUAGUCUGGCUACACAUUAAAAUCACUUGCUGGGGAAUUCCCUGGCAGUCCAGUGGUUAGAACUCUGGGCUUCCACUGCAAGGGGCCCAGGUUUGAUCCCACAAGCUGGUGGCCCAGCCAAAAAAAAAUCACUUGGUGCGUAUACGUAUAUACACACACACAUGUACAUACACAUAUAUGUAUAUACAUAUAUACACACAUACCAGUGCCAGGACCCUUCUGUAGGUCAAUUAAAAUGGAGUUUCUAGGGGCGGGGCAUGGAUUUUUUUUUUUUUUAAGCUAUGGCCAGUGAUUAUAAUGUGCAUCAAGGUAUAACCUAGACCAAGGAUAUUAAUCUGAUACUCAGGAAAUAUGAAUGGAAUAAAAACAAGAAACUUGGCCUUCCCUGGUGGCGCAGUGGUUAAGAAUCCGCCUGCCAAUGCAGGGGACACGAGUUCAAGCCCUGGUCCAGGAAGAUCCCACAUGCCACGGAGCAACUAAGCCCGUGUGCCACAACUACUGAGCCUGCGCUCUAGAGCCCAUGUGCCACAACUACUGAAGCCUGUGCAUCUAGAGCCCAUGCUCCACAACAAGAGAAGCCGCCACAAUGAGAAGACCGCACACUGCAACGAAGAGUUAGACCCAUCUCGCUGCAACUAGAGAAAGCCCGCCUGCAGCAACAAAGACCCAAUGCAGACAGAAAAAUUAUGAUAAUAAUAAAAUAAA
This is a long non-coding RNA of Orcinus orca (killer whale), 3605 nucleotides long. RefSeq lists it as uncharacterized. The record is from RefSeq and is a predicted model, not a curated record. Lineage: Eukaryota; Metazoa; Chordata; Mammalia; Artiodactyla; Delphinidae. The transcript has 2 exons.